RNAcentral lists this ribosomal RNA (1161 nucleotides) under Triticum aestivum (bread wheat). RNAcentral describes it as "partial small subunit ribosomal RNA". The record is from RNAcentral. Lineage: Eukaryota; Viridiplantae; Streptophyta; Magnoliopsida; Poales; Poaceae.
AUGAAAACCAACAAAGCUCCUGGACCUGAUGGUCUGCCUAUAGAGUUUUAUCAGAAAUACUGGCACAUCAUAGGAGUAGAUAUUUUAGAUCUUUUCUGCGAAUUUUCCAAUGGAAAACUUGAUCUAGCUAGGUUUAACUAUGGUGUUCUUGCACUUAUUCCCAAAUGUGCUGAUGCUCAUACUUUGCAACAGUACAGACCUAUUUGCUUACUAAAUGUGAUUUUUAAGAUUUUUACAAAAGUGCACAACAAUAGAGCCAUUGUUGUAGCAGAUAAAGUUGUAGCUCCUGUGCAGGCAACCUUUAUUAGAGGUAGAUACAUUCUGGAUGGGGUGAUUGUGUUGCAUGAAGUAUUGCAUGAAGUACAUAGGAAAAAAGAGAGUGUGGUGCUUUUUAAAGUAGAUUUUGGAAAAGCUUAUGAUAAAAUUAAUUGGGAUUUUUUGUAUUUUGUCAUGGAAAAGAAGGGCUUCCCUCCUAAAUAUAGAGAAUGGGUCAAACAGACAGUAGAGAGGGGUAAGGUAGCUGUUAUGGUUAAUGACCAGAUUGGUCCUUUUUUUGAAAUGAAAAAGGGGCUGAGGCAAGGAGAUCCUUUGUCCCCAAUCUUGUUUAAUAUUGCUAUUGAUAUUCUUAACUUGCUCAUUUUAAAAGCUCAAGACUUGGAUCUGGUACAAGGCCUAGUGCAAAACUUAAUACCAAAUAGGAUUAGUAUGUUACAAUAUGCAGAUGAUACUAUCUUUAUGUUUAAGGAUAAUCUGGAGAGUGCUAGGAACUUGAAAUUGAUUCUUUGUCUGUUUGAACAACUUUCAGGUCUCAAAGUUAACUUCCAUAAAAGUGAGGUUUUUUGUUUUGGUGAGGCUAAAGGGAAACAAGAGUGUUAUUCUAAUAUUUUCACUUGUGCUGUUGGUAAACUACCUUUUAAGUAUUUAGGGAUACCUAUUAAUGUUGUGAGGCUAUGUAAUAGUGAUUGGAAUUGGCCUGAGGAGAAGAUGGAGAAGAAAUUGAGUGUUUGGAAAGGUAGAAAUAGAUCAUAUGGGGGUAGAUUAAUACUAAUUACUUCCAGUUUGUCCACUAUUCCACUACUAGGGAAAACCCUAGCAGCAGCGCGGGUUUUAGACCUAUCAGUAGCACGGGGUUAUGCGCUACUGAUAAGGCGAUACAACUAA